CCUACGGGAGGCAGCAGUGGGGGAUAUUGCACAAUGGGGGAAACCCUGAUGCAGCGACGCCGCGUGUGGGAAGACGGUCCUCUGGAUUGUAAACCACUGUCCCCAGGGACGAAGAUGACGGUACCUGGGGAGGAAGCUCCGGCUAACUACGUGCCAGCAGCCGCGGUAAUACGUAGGGAGCGAGCGUUGUCCGGAAUUACUGGGUGUAAGGGGAGCGUAGGCGGGACUGCAAGUUGGGUGUCAAAUCUACCGGCUCAACCGGUAGCCGCACUCAAAACUGCAGUUCUUGAGUGAAGUAGAGGCAGGCGGAAUUCCUAGUGUAGCGGUGAAAUGCGUAGAUAUUAGGAGGAACACCAGUGGCGAAGGCGGCCUGCUGGGCUUUUACUGACGCUGAGGCUCGAAAGUGUGGGGAGCAAACAGGAUUAGAUACCCCGAGUAGUC
Molecule: ribosomal RNA, 441 nt
Filed under: uncultured bacterium
Lineage: Bacteria
Description: partial 16S ribosomal RNA
Rfam family: Bacterial small subunit ribosomal RNA
Source: RNAcentral